This is a long non-coding RNA of Diceros bicornis minor, 320 nucleotides long. RefSeq lists it as uncharacterized. The transcript is spliced from 2 exons. The record is from RefSeq and is a predicted model, not a curated record. Lineage: Eukaryota; Metazoa; Chordata; Mammalia; Perissodactyla; Rhinocerotidae.
AAAAUCUCAGCCCUGAAUGAAUGUCACAUUCCUCCUUUUGCAUCCCUGGGGAACAGGGCAAAUAAGCUCAUCUGAAACCUCAGCUGCCCAGCCUGUGAAAUAAGGCCGGCCAUCCAUUCUCACAGAGGAGCCAACUGGAGCCAGAAGAACCUUAAGGGAAAGGGCAGAGGGAGAUUCUCCCUCUUCCCCCGACAGUUUUUGCGUAGUCGCCAGGAGCCACACUGGCUGGCAAGUUGCCUUCUCUGGCUGGAAGACCUGCCUUCUCCCUGGACUACUGCAGAUGGUGAGAUACGGGAACGCCUGACAAAAGCCGGCAAAAG